GGACUGAGAUGUCUUCACCAAAUGAUGUCAGUAUGGAAGAAAUACCGCUGGAAGACGAGCGAGACAGCAUAGAAUACAAGAUCCUGAUGGCCUAUGCACAGCGGCGGUUGUCUGCCAGCAGAUACAAGAAACUUCUGAAAAAAGAGACAAAUGCACCAAAAUCAUCAUCCUUAAUCAGGAGUGAAUUAGAGAUUCAUCAUCAAGGGGGAAAAGACAGUUCAAGUCAAACAUUGGAAUGCCAGAGUGGCAUGAGGAAGCAGCACAGCAAAAAGAAAAGAAAACAAAAACAUUUAUCAAGAUAUUGUCUACCCUUCUUCUGCAGCAGAGCAGAGCAGGAAAAGCCCCCAAAAACUUCUGUACCUGAAAGUCGCACUUUUGGUACAUGCACUGAGAGCCUUUCAGUAAAGAGUUGUCAUCAUCAGACAAUUGAAAAAGCAGAUGUCAACAACAUUGCGGACCACCCUCCUUCCCAAUCAGGUGAAAAAGCAGAUGUUGACCACAUUGCAGACAAACUUGCCAAGCUCAUUACUUCCAGACCUCAGUCAUCUCCUUCAGGUGUGAUGUUCAAGAUGCUGGUGCAUUCCCAGUCUCUGGAAGAAGAUGGCAAAGAUACUGCUGAGGGAAAUGAGAGUGACGGAAAUGAUGAAGAAAAGACAAUACAACAAAUAGUUGCACUGUUAAGAAAAUCAGGGGAUCAACUAGAAGAAAAGGUAAGUACUUCUGUUUUCAGGAGCUACACAGGUUAG
RNAcentral lists this long non-coding RNA (746 nucleotides) under Anas platyrhynchos platyrhynchos (common mallard). Its description in RNAcentral is "lncRNA (ENSAPLG00000012096.2)". Lineage: Eukaryota; Metazoa; Chordata; Aves; Anseriformes; Anatidae. The record is from RNAcentral.